AGUGUAGGUGGCUCAUUAAGUCACAUGUGAAAUCCCCGGGCUCAACCUGGGAACUGCAUGUGAUACUGGUGGUGCUAGAAUAUGUGAGAGGGAAGUAGAAUUCCAGGUGUAGCGGUGAAAUGCGUAGAGAUCUGGAGGAAUACCGAUGGCGAAGGCAGCUUCCUGGCAUAAUAUUGACACUGAGAUUCGAAAGCGUGGGUAGCAAACA
This 208-nucleotide ribosomal RNA is filed under the name uncultured bacterium. RNAcentral describes it as "partial 16S ribosomal RNA". It matches the Rfam family "Bacterial small subunit ribosomal RNA", at positions 568 to 774 of the family's 1533-position model. The record is from RNAcentral.